CCUACGGGAGGCAGCAGUGGGGAAUAUUGCACAAUGGGCGAAAGCCUGAUGCAGCAACGCCGCGUGAAGGAAGAAGGGUUUCGGCUCGUAAACUUCUAUCAACAGGGACGAAAGAAAUGACGGUACCUGAAUAAGAAGCCCCGGCUAACUACGUGCCAGCAGCCGCGGUAAGACGUAGGGGGCAAGCGUUAUCCGGAAUUACUGGGUGUAAAGGGUGAGUAGGCGGCAUGGUAAGCCAGAUGUGAAAGCCUUGGGCUUAACCCGAGGAUUGCAUUUGGAACUAUCAAGCUAGAGGACAGGAGAGGAAAGCGGAAUUCCUAGUGGAGCGGUGAAAUGCGUAGAUAUUAGGAAGAACACCAGGGGCGAAGGCGGCUUUCUGGACUGAAACUGACGCUGAGGCACGAAAGCGUGGGGAGCGAACAGGAUUAGAUACCCUUGUAGUC
RNAcentral lists this ribosomal RNA (443 nucleotides) under uncultured bacterium. Its description in RNAcentral is "partial 16S ribosomal RNA". It matches the Rfam family "Bacterial small subunit ribosomal RNA", at positions 338 to 795 of the family's 1533-position model. The record is from RNAcentral.